GGCUUCGUAGCUCAGCUGGUAAAGCGCUUGCUGCGUUUAGAUAUGCAGCUUCAGUCGCUGGUUCGAAUUCAGCCGAAGCCC
This is a non-coding RNA of Paragonimus skrjabini miyazakii, 81 nucleotides long. The record is from the annotation of a GenBank genome assembly. NCBI's taxonomy places the organism in Eukaryota, Metazoa, Platyhelminthes, Trematoda, Plagiorchiida, Troglotrematidae.